CAGGUGGGACAGGAGGAGUUAAGGUCCCUUGGGGCAGGGAGGGUGGGGGGUUGCUGGAGAAGCUGAAAGGGGUGGGUGGGUGUGCUGAACAGUGUCCAUUCCUGCCAGUGACCUCUCCCUCAUGGCCCUUCUCUCGAGGUUCCCUGUGGUGUCGUCCAGGGUUCCUGCCUCGGGGAUGGAGCCUCCCCACCCAGAACAAGAGAAAACCCAGGAGGCCGUGUUCAGCAUUUGAGUUUCAAAUUCAACUCUUGAAACGUCCCGGAAGAGGCGGCAUGUGGGAAAAGGUCUUGCUGUCUUUAAAGGCUCAACUUCUGUGUCCCCAAUGUGACAAACACAUUUGCGCCACAAGCAACCGAUCUGGGAGGAAUGCAGGCUGGACCUGAGAGGCAGUUUUCCAGCCUCAACUCUAUAAACACUCCACAAGCGGGAGAGGCGGGGAGGAGAGCCGCAGGCAGUGACUGAGCCCGGCCGUGCAGCCGGGGUGUGGUCCUGCGGGGCUGGAGACAGUGUGCCUUCCAGAGGCACCGCGAGGCUCUGUAGAGGAGGGAUUCCUCUGGAGGGUGCUGUGCUUGGUGACAGUCUUUGAGGACUCUCCUGGGAGGCUGCGAUGCCUUGCUCUUGGAGAUGCUGCCCUUUCUUGGGGGCCAGAGGCUGCAGAGGGGCAGAGCAGGGCAUGCCACAUGCCAAAAGAACCUGGGGGCCGAUGAAGGGCUCCUGCACCAUGAGAGAGCUGGCCAGGGUCAGGUGACAUCCUGUCCACAGGACACUCAGUAGAAAGAAGCCGGAGACGCAGCUUCAACCCAGGGUGGGGCCAGGUGAGGCCCGCUUGUCUCUGCCGAGAGGACCGAGAGGACCCAGGCAGGAAACGCUCUGGGGUGGGGGCGGGGUUCUCCAAAGGCCUCGAAGCUGAAUUGUCAGUGUUUUGGGUUAGACACGAGGGGUCCCCAGAUGCCCACGUGUGAGACGAUCUAAGAAUGUUCAGAGGCAAAGUGAUUAAUCCACUGAUACGGAUUAACGGGGUGAUAAUGAAGGCAGCUGGGGUGUGGCUGAGGAGGUGGGACACGGGGUGUGCCUUUGGGGCUUCUGUUUCGUCCCUGGUGAGGGGACUCUGUGUCCCUGGUCCACGUCCUGAGCUCCUCUGCCUCGCCCCUGUGUCAUGGUGUCUGCUU
RNAcentral lists this long non-coding RNA (1169 nucleotides) under Marmota monax (woodchuck). The record is from RNAcentral. Lineage: Eukaryota; Metazoa; Chordata; Mammalia; Rodentia; Sciuridae.